GCCAGACUCCUACGGGAGGCAGCAGUGAGGAAUAUUGGUCAAUGGUCGGGAGACUGAACCAGCCAAGCCGCGUGAGGGAUGAAGGUACAGAGUAUCGUAAACCUCUUUUGUCAGGGAACAAAGGCGGGGACGUGUCCCCGGAUGAGUGUACCUGAAGAAAAAGUAUCGGCUAACUCCGUGCCAGCAGCCGCGGUAAUACGGAGGAUGCGAGCGUUAUCCGGAUUUAUUGGGUUUAAAGGGUGCGUAGGCGGAAUAUCAAGUCAGCGGUAAAAAUUCGGGGCUCAACCCCGUCGUGCCGUUGAAACUGAUGUUCUUGAGUGGGCGAGAAGUAUGCGGAAUGCGUGGUGUAGCGGUGAAAUGCAUAGAUAUCACGCAGAACUCCGAUUGCGAAGGCAGCAUACCGGCGCCCAACUGACGCUGAAGCACGAAAGCGUGGGUAUCGAACAGGAUUAGAUACCCUAGUAU
This 465-nucleotide ribosomal RNA is filed under the name uncultured bacterium. RNAcentral describes it as "bacterial SSU rRNA". It matches the Rfam family "Bacterial small subunit ribosomal RNA", at positions 330 to 793 of the family's 1533-position model. The record is from RNAcentral.